RNAcentral lists this transfer RNA (76 nucleotides) under Mesotoga prima MesG1.Ag.4.2. RNAcentral describes it as "tRNA-His (GTG) (tRNA-His-GTG-1-1)". It matches the Rfam family "tRNA". Rfam says of the family: Transfer RNA (tRNA) molecules are approximately 80 nucleotides in length. Their secondary structure includes four short double-helical elements and three loops (D, anti-codon, and T loops). The record is from RNAcentral. RNAcentral also lists the same sequence under 11 other names. Lineage: Bacteria; Thermotogati; Thermotogota; Thermotogae; Kosmotogales; Kosmotogaceae.
GUGGUUGUAGCUCAGUUGGAAGAGCGCCUGACUGUGGAUCAGGCGGCCGCGGGUUCGAACCCCGCCAGCCACCCCA